CUUUGAACAAACAACCUGCCGCUUGCAUCCAUAACGUUAAUGUCUCGUUCACGUCUCGGCCUCAAACCAGUGAUCACAAGUCCGUGACACCGCGAUCAAGAACACGUGCACCGUGCGCGCGUAUAAGGCCCGCACGGAGCCAGACUACAUCCGGGCAUUCCGAAGACUUGCUCUCUGGGCUACAUACGGGGAACCUGGUUUCUCUCCUCCCGCCCAGGGGAAAGUCCCCGGACAGACGGCAGAAAGUGCCCUGGGUGAAUCCAGUGUCGGCCCGCGCCUCGUCCAAUGGCGGCUGAGAUGUUCGUGUGAACGGAGCCCGACGGUCGUAGGCCGGCUUUGUCAGCUUCUCUAGUAAUAAGUGCGUGGAGUAAAAAACUGCAUCUUCAACUGUUUCCAGUUCUUUGAACUUGUUUCUUUCAAGGCUAAAGUGCCCUUUCCACACUGCUUCCCCCCCACAUUUCUUUGCGUUA
Long non-coding RNA from Gasterosteus aculeatus aculeatus (three-spined stickleback), 470 nucleotides. NCBI's taxonomy places the organism in Eukaryota, Metazoa, Chordata, Actinopteri, Perciformes, Gasterosteidae. The record is from Ensembl.